Long non-coding RNA from Dalotia coriaria, 324 nucleotides. RefSeq lists it as uncharacterized. The record is from RefSeq and is a predicted model, not a curated record. The transcript is spliced from 2 exons. NCBI's taxonomy places the organism in Eukaryota, Metazoa, Arthropoda, Insecta, Coleoptera, Staphylinidae.
UCACUAACACGAUGGCGACCACAAUCAGGUUCACCAGCAGUGUCGAAUUCCAAUCGACUACAUCCGAACACACAAACGACAAAACACCAUUGAACUUUCCUUUACUUGUCAACAUUGUAUGAAUGAAUAAAGGAGGUUUGUUGCAGUUGCCGUUGCAAGUUCCAUGCAUCGCGUAUAUAAUUCCGAACGCAAUUAUUCGAGCCCGUGCGACAUAAUACAGUUUGUUGAAACGUGACAUGCGAUGACAAAAUCCCGUGAUAGAAAAGAUUCAAAAUCAAUUUGUUGUAUGUACAUAGGAAAUAUAUAAUAUCAAUUCGGAAUUGA